UACGAAGGGGGCUAGCGUUGCUCGGAAUCACUGGGCGUAAAGCGCACGUAGGCGGAUCUUUAAGUCAGGGGUGAAAUCCUGGAGCUCAACUCCAGAACUGCCUUUGAUACUGGGGAUCUCGAGUCCGGGAGAGGUGAGUGGAACUGCGAGUCUAGAGGUGAAAUUCGUAGAUAUUCGCAAGAACACCAGUGGCGAAGGCGGCUCACUGGCCCGGUACUGACGCUGAGGUGCGAAAGCGUGGGGAGCAAACAGG
RNAcentral lists this ribosomal RNA (253 nucleotides) under uncultured bacterium. RNAcentral's name for it is "partial 16S ribosomal RNA". It matches the Rfam family "Bacterial small subunit ribosomal RNA", at positions 524 to 776 of the family's 1533-position model. The record is from RNAcentral.